CUUUAAAAAAAUGCCUUUAACAAAAUACCUUCUAUUAAGAGACAUGUUGUAGUGUUUUGGGAAAACAAGUGAUCUUACAUUUUGUUUGUGCACGUGAAAUUAUGGAUUUUAGUUCAUUUGGUUGAGACUUGAGCCGAUAAGUCAUUGUAUAGGUAAUAUUUGAUUCUUGUCACACUACUACAGAAUAGGCCUUUGGACGAUUGUCAAAAACGCCAAUUGUCUCAGCAAUUUUGGGACCCGAGACUAUAGAGCUCUUUAGUCCCAGUCCGUAACACGGGCCAGGACUAAUGGGUCCUGCCCAACGGCUAAGCUGUCGGAGCAAGGACCCUUUAGUCCCGGCUCGCGUUGUUACGCGCCGGGACUAAAGGCGUAUUUAGUCCCGGUUGAUGCCACCAGCUGGGACUAAGAGGGUGUUUGGGACUGCUCUGCUCCACGUUUUUUAGCUCCGCUUCACGUUUUUUAGCCAAACGGUUUCACCUCCACGCACUCAGUUCAAGGAAAAAGAGUGAAGUUGUGAGAGAACCUCAAGAAGUACGUACUCCAUAAACUCCAGUUUUUUGUAGAGCUGCUCCAUAGUGGAGUUUGUGGAGCAGUCCCAAACACCCCCCUAAAGCUUUAGCACCAGUUGGUGGCUUGCUCUGGGACUAAAAGGGCCUCUUUUAGUCUCCGUUUUACUUCCAGCCGGGACUAAAGGUGUACGGGUUAUAUCUUUCUCUCUUCUUCCUCCUUGAGAGACCGAGCCCAUUCAAAAUUCAGUGAGUUUGUUCUCUCUCUUCUUGCUUACCAUUGCUUGUUCUUGCUUUGUUCUUGCUUGUUCUUCAUCUCCGGCGCCCAUUGGUGAUUUUCUUUGACGCCAUCAUCGUUUCUUCGGGUCUAAGGUUUGAAUCGACAUCGCCGGCGCCCAUUGGUGAUCUUAUUUGACUCCGCCAUCGACUUUUCGUGUUUAGAGAUGACAACCGUGACCGGGUCCUCGGCGAGUGUAAGCAGAAGAUUGUGAAGGAGUAUCGAGUGAAAAAAGAGGGAAGCAACAAGGGUCGUAUAUUCUACAAGUGUCCGGAUCGCGAGUGGGACGACAUCAACGAAUGUGCAGGUUGGUACUAGGAGGAAGAGUACAUUCAGCACGUAUGGAAUUCUGCUGCACAGGAGGUUGCCGCUGAAGGUGACGAGGCAGUGAGCCAGCAAAAGAAGCGCAUUGAUGUUGAUCCUCCAGCGAAUGAUCUGUCUGUUUUAGUUGGGAUAGAAUGAGAACUAAUUAUGUUGCUUAAGUACAUUUUAGUUUUAGUUUUUUAUUACUAGCUGUGAUUGUAUUUGUUAUAGUCAGGCUUGAUUGAAUUAAUCAAUCAUGUGAUAUCAUGCGUGUCAUGCAAUAACAUGAGGAACUAAGUGCAUGGUUGUAAUACUUAAUGCAGAUGUCGUCACGCAAUUGGAUGUAUAAUGC
This is a long non-coding RNA of Sorghum bicolor (sorghum), 1438 nucleotides long. RefSeq lists it as uncharacterized. The record is from RefSeq and is a predicted model, not a curated record. NCBI's taxonomy places the organism in Eukaryota, Viridiplantae, Streptophyta, Magnoliopsida, Poales, Poaceae. The transcript is spliced from 4 exons.